Molecule: long non-coding RNA, 3396 nt
Organism: Esox lucius (northern pike)
Lineage: Eukaryota; Metazoa; Chordata; Actinopteri; Esociformes; Esocidae
Source: Ensembl
GCAGAACAACCCAUUAUGUCCGUGUGAAAUUAUAUCAAUUAUAGAAAUUUAGAGAUUAAAUGUAAAGUUCCAAUCUCCUCAGUCCUCCGAAGAUUCAGUGGCUCCUCGGAUCAGAUAGCUGUCAAUCGCAGCUGUGAAUCACGACGUCACACCACCGUUUUUAGAGCAUUAAAUAACUAACCAAAAACAAACUUAUUUUAAAAACAAACUCUUGAAUUUACAUUAGCGUGAUACAAACUACAGUAAAUGACAGAAACCAGCUACGGAAAAAAUAUAUUUGAAGGGUAAUUUAAUUGUUUAGUUGGUCUCGCGUCCCAUUGAAUAACAUGGGGAGGGCGGGGUUUAUGACCUAUACUGGGACCACUCACCAGGGGGCGAUCGAGACGUUUUGGCUUCACUUUUCAGGGCUUGUGCGGCACGCUUGGCUUGAACGGUUAACAACCACCGGUGUAGGUCAUCUGUUGUAGCACUUGUCAGAAGAUAAAACAAUGGGGUUAUAGAUUUGCCAAACACCAUUUGUUAGACACCAAGCACCUUACCGCUGACACAACACUUAUUUAUUGCCUGGGAAUUUAACAUUCCAGAACUCUAACCCAGAUUGCAAAAAAUAUCUGCACAGGUUAUUUUUGCCGCCGGCCCUAAGCUGUCGGCUAUAGGUGCGUCCUGCUGGCGGGGAUGAAACGUUUGCCGCCGAAUACGUCUCUCCCAUUUCUUGCGAGAUUUCUUGACUGCUUCAUUUUCUCUGGCGGUUGUCUCGGUCUAAUGGACCGCUGUCAUCCGGCGUCAAGACGCUUUUAAAUACAAGGCUACUCUCAAAAUCGACCGGCCAUGUUGGUUUGGACACACAUUCACAUCAGUUUGUCGCUCAAUCGCGAGUUACAGCCUGCAGUUUGCUAGCUAGCAAAGUCAUCGACUACCAUCGUUUAAGUAACUACAUGUUUCCUUUUUGUGUAACGCAAUAUUAUGUUUACAUUGUUUUUAGUUUAUAUAUUUAAAAUGUGUAGUCAUCUUUGUUCUUGCCUAACUAGCUAAAGUAGCCUUGUUUACGCAAUGUUGUUAGUACAUGUAGAAUUUUAACGAGCUAAAAUAGGUAGCAAAAGCUUUACAUCUAGAAAGACUAAGUUUAACUUUUAGUGUUUUCUUACAAAAAUAACGAUGUAUAUAUGUUUAAAUUAUUUUGUUUGCCUGAACAAGUAUGCUGCUAGUCCAGUAGCUAUAGUGGCUAGUAAGUGUUAGCUAGCACAUGCUGUUUUGCCUUUGUUACAGUACCCACUGUGGCUAGCAAGUUUUGUGCUGUGUUGCUACUGUACUGGAUUUAAGGCGAUUAUGAUUCUCUGAACUGCUGUACUUUUUAUGUUUGAGGAAAAUUCUGUGUUCACUUGAAUCACAACACUCGAUAACCGGUUAUUCUCUAGCCAAGGUAUCUUCACCCAAGAGACCAACUGUUGGUCAAUCGUUUAGGUUUUAAAGGUAAAUGCAUUGUUAGUCACAAUGUCUAGUUACUGGGCCAAAAGGAAAAUAAUAUUGAAAAGAGUUGCGAGGGACAAACAGGACAUUCACUUGAAUCACUACAUGCUACAGAAGUUUCAUCGAUUACAGAAAACCAGGAAAAUGUUGAGCCAUCUGUAGACUUCAGAGCUGAACCAGGUUUCUCCCCAGUAAUCCAGACUCCAUUUCACAGAACCAAGAGUUUGAGUACAACUAAGUGAUGUUAUUUGUGACAUUUUUUGUCUUGGAAACUGUUGCUUCUAUUUAAGAUUAGGAAUCCUUUUAUCCAUAAUCUGUUUUUCAUUAGGGCACUUGACUUUCUGGAUAAAAGGUGUCGAGGUGUGUUGUACAUAUCAUUAGCUUUGCACAGUUCAAUUAUUGUUUCAUUACUGAAUAUGCAAUCUCUGCAGUGAAAUUAAAGCUGUUAUGUUUGUUCCCCCGGCUCGUCAAGUACUAAGCUUUACACCACCAGCAGCAAAUUUACCCUGGCAGCAUAUGGGUGAAAACGCUGGAGGUAUGUAAUAUGUUGCGCUAAACUAAGUUUUACAUUUAAGCCCAAUUCAUUAAAUGUAUGCAAUUACUUCAAACAUAUUUUUAUGUCAAUGAUUAUCAAUAGGAGAAAUUAAUCGCUUUGUUAUUGGCCGUUGGACGCCCCUGGCAUCUCGUGUACAGCACAAAGUUUUCAGCUAUGAAGGUAUAUUCUAGGCCUAUGUCUUAUUGUCCAGUGUUUUAACAGUAUUGAAAAUAUUGCCUUUAGUAGUUUUUUUAUGUAGAUUUCCAGUGACUCCAAAAUGAAAACCAAGCUCUGAGGGAGGAGAACCAAGCCCUGAGGGAAUGCAAUGCACAAGCAGCUUCGGAUGACAGCGGCUCACUUCAAGAGCAGGUGAAGCAAGUAGGGACAAUGUUGAAGACGUUUGCUCUCACUGGGCAAUCAGGUGCGUUACCUGAAAGGAGCAUCUGACCGUGAAGGCAGAAAAAGCCGCACAGCUGAGAAGGACCCACUGCCGACCCCUUAAACCUAGGCUGACUACUGACACCCCAGCAUCACUGAACUGGAACACUUUCUUUAUCCAGCAGUCAGUAACAUCAAGAAGCCAGAAGUGCCAGACUACACUCACCAAAUCCACCCUCUUUUUUUUUGUAUUUUAACUUUAGUAUUGGCUUAUUUCAUUCCGUCUUAACGAUUCUAUUAUAGUUUGUAAAUCCUAUUUCAUACCUGUUACUUGAUAUUGCACAUUAACUAGUACCAAAAUUCUACUUUCAUUUCAUCAGUGUGCUUAACUGUUAUUCUAUUAAUAAUAGCUUGGAAAUACUAUUUUGUACCUCUGAUACUUGAUAUUGCACAUUACCUGGUACCAAAUAUUCUACUUACUCUGUUUUUAACAUCAGCAUUUUUCAUUCCAUCACAUUGCUUAACUGUUAUUCUUUUGUUAAAUAUAGCUUGUAAAUCCUUUUGCCACAGGUCAGCAUUGCAGUUAUAAUGGUCUGUUCUACUACUGUUUUUUAUUUUUAUAUAAAUAUAUAUGUCAAGUUUUGUUUAUCACAGAUACAAGAGACACAGAUCUUAUUGCAGCACGGUGUAAAUCUUGUGCUCCAGGUCAGCAAUGCCAUUAUAACGGUCUAUUCUACUCUAGAGCUUUACUCUAAAUUAUUACCACUUUUCCUAUUGUUAGAAAUGGCUUGAAAAUGUGAUGUUAUACCUCGAUUUAUUUGGUAUCCUGCACAUUCUUUGGUACCAAAUAUCCUCAUUACUUAUGUUUACUGGUAAUUAUUUUCAUCCCAGAGCUGACUUCUUUAUAUUAUUAACAAUUAUUGUGUUUGUGUAAUAAUUAGUUUCUUUUUUUACCAACAUUUAAUUGGAAACCUGCAUGUUCUGUAGUGUGUGUUUAUAUGUAUAUUUUUUCCUGC